This 253-nucleotide ribosomal RNA is filed under the name uncultured bacterium. Its description in RNAcentral is "partial 16S ribosomal RNA". It matches the Rfam family "Bacterial small subunit ribosomal RNA", at positions 524 to 776 of the family's 1533-position model. The record is from RNAcentral.
UACAGAGGGUGCGAGCGUUAAUCGGAAUUACUGGGCGUAAAGCGCGCGUAGGCGGCUUUGCAGGUCGGGUGUGAAAUCCCCAGGCUUAACCUGGGAACUGCAUUCGAGACUGCAUUGCUAGAGUAUGGGAGAGGGAAGUGGAAUUUCCGGUGUAGCGGUGAAAUGCGUAGAUAUCGGAAGGAACAUCAGUGGCGAAAGCGACUUCCUGGACCAAUACUGACGCUCAUGUGCGAAAGCGUGGGGAGCAAACAGG